This 73-nucleotide transfer RNA is filed under the name Hadesarchaea archaeon. RNAcentral describes it as "tRNA-Thr". It matches the Rfam family "tRNA". From Rfam's summary of the family: Transfer RNA (tRNA) molecules are approximately 80 nucleotides in length. Their secondary structure includes four short double-helical elements and three loops (D, anti-codon, and T loops). Further hydrogen bonds mediate the characteristic L-shaped molecular structure. tRNAs have two regions of fundamental functional importance: the anti-codon, which is responsible for specific mRNA codon recognition, and the 3' end, to which the tRNAs corresponding amino acid is attached (by aminoacyl-tRNA synthetases). tRNAs cope with the degeneracy of the genetic code in two manners: having more than one tRNA (with a specific anti-codon) for a particular amino acid; and 'wobble' base-pairing, i.e. permitting non-standard base-pairing at the 3rd anti-codon position. Lineage: Archaea; Methanobacteriati; Hadarchaeota (SeqCode); Hadarchaeia (SeqCode). The record is from RNAcentral.
GCCCCGGUAGCUCAGCGGGUAGAGCAAUCGCCUUGUAAGCGAUGGGUCGUGGGUUCAAAUCCCACCCGGUGCU